GACGAACGCUGGCGGCGUGCUUAACACAUGCAAGUCGAACGGAAAGGCCCUGCUUUUGUGGGGUGCUCGAGUGGCGAACGGGUGAGUAACACGUGAGUAACCUGCCCUUGACUUUGGGAUAACUUCAGGAAACUGGGGCUAAUACCGGAUAGGAGCUCCUGCUGCAUGGUGGGGGUUGGAAAGUUUCGGCGGUUGGGGAUGGACUCGCGGCUUAUCAGCUUGUUGGUGGGGUAGUGGCUUACCAAGGCUUUGACGGGUAGCCGGCCUGAGAGGGUGACCGGCCACAUUGGGACUGAGAUACGGACCAGACUCCUACGGGAGGCAGCAGUGGGGAAUAUUGCACAGUGGGCGGAAGCCUGAUGCAGCAACGCCGCGUGCGGGAUGACGGCCUGCGGGUUGUAAACCGCUUUAGCCUGUGACGAAGCGUGAGUGACGGUAAUGGGUAAAGAAGCACCGGCUAACUACGUG
RNAcentral lists this ribosomal RNA (468 nucleotides) under uncultured bacterium. Its description in RNAcentral is "partial 16S ribosomal RNA". It matches the Rfam family "Bacterial small subunit ribosomal RNA", at positions 28 to 507 of the family's 1533-position model. The record is from RNAcentral.